GCAUAUCAAUAAGCGGAGGAAAAGGAACCAACCGGGAUUGCCUUAGUAACGGCGAGUGAAGCGGCAAAAGCUCAAAUUUGAAAUCUGGUACCUUCGGUGCCCGAGUUGUAAUUUGGAGAGGGCAACUUUGGGGCCGUUCCUUGUCUAUGUUCCUUGGAACAGGACGUCAUAGAGGGUGAGAAUCCCGUGUGGCGAGGAGUGCGGUUCUUUGUAAAGUGCCUUCGAAGAGUCGAGUUGUUUGGGAAUGCAGCUCUAAGUGGGUGGUAAAUUCCAUCUAAAGCUAAAUAUUGGCGAGAGACCGAUAGCGAACAAGUACAGUGAUGGAAAGAUGAAAAGAACUUUGAAAAGAGAGUGAAAAAGUACGUGAAAUUGUUGAAAGGGAAGGGCAUUUGAUCAGACAUGGUGUUUUGUGCCCUCUGCUCCUUGUGGGUAGGGGAAUCUCGCAUUUCACUGGGCCAGCAUCAGUUUUGGUGGCAGGAUAAAUCCAUAGGAAUGUAGCUUGCCUCGGUAAGUAUUAUAGCCUGUGGGAAUACUGCCAGCUGGGACUGAGGACUGCGACGUAAGUCAAGGAUGCUGGCAUAAUGGUUAUAUGCCGCCCGUCUUGAAACACGGACC
This 615-nucleotide ribosomal RNA is filed under the name uncultured yeast. RNAcentral's name for it is "eukaryotic LSU rRNA". It matches the Rfam family "Eukaryotic large subunit ribosomal RNA", at positions 38 to 667 of the family's 3401-position model. Lineage: Eukaryota; Fungi. The record is from RNAcentral.